This 481-nucleotide ribosomal RNA is filed under the name uncultured bacterium. Its description in RNAcentral is "partial 16S ribosomal RNA". It matches the Rfam family "Bacterial small subunit ribosomal RNA", at positions 30 to 507 of the family's 1533-position model. The record is from RNAcentral.
UUGAACGCUGGCGGCAUGCCUUACCCAUGCAAGUCGAACGGUAACAGGUCUUCGGAUGCUGACGAGUGGCGACCGGGUGAGUAAUACAUCGGAACGUGCCCAGACGUGGGGGAUAACGAGGCGAAAGCUUUGCUAAUACCGCAUACGAUCUAAGGAUGAAAGCAGGGGACCGCAAGGCCUUGCGCGUUUGGAGCGGCCGAUGGCAGAUUAGGUAGUUGGUGGGAUAAAAGCUUACCAAGCCGACGAUCUGUAGCUGGUCUGAGAGGACGACCAGCCACACUGGGACUGAGACACGGCCCAGACUCCUACGGGAGGCAGCAGUGGGGAAUUUUGGACAAUGGGCGAAAGCCUGAUCCAGCAAUGCCGCGUGCAGGAUGAAGGCCUUCGGGUUGUAAACUGCUUUUGUACGGAACGAAAAGGCUCUGGCUAAUACCUGGGGCACAUGACGGUACCGUAAGAAUAAGCACCGGCUAACUACGUG